GGGUUGUGAGGUUAAGCGACUAAGCGUACACGGUGGAUGCCUAGGCAGUCAGAGGCGAUGAAGGACGUGCUAAUCUGCGAUAAGCGUCGGUAAGGUGAUAUGAACCGUUAUAACCGACGAUUUCCGAAUGGGGAAACCCAGUGCAAUCCGUUGCACUAUCGUUAAGUGAAUACAUAGCUUAACGAAGCGAACCAGGGGAACUGAAACAUCUAAGUACCCUGAGGAAAAGAAAUCAACCGAGAUUCCCCCAGUAGCGGCGAGCGAACGGGGAACAGCCCAGAACCUGAAUCAGUUUGUGUGUUAGUGGAAGCGUCUGGAAAGUCGCAGGGUACAGGGUGAUACUCCCGUACACAAAAAUGCACAUACUGUGAGUUCGAAGAGUAGGGCGGGACACGUGGUAUCCUGUCUGAAUAUGGGGGGACCAUCCUCCAAGGCUAAAUACUCCUGACUGACCGAUAGUGAACCAGUACCGUGAGGGAAAGGCGAAAAGAACCCCGGCGAGGGGAGUGAAACAGAACCUGAAACCGUGUACGUACAAGCAGUGGGAGCCUUGAUUUAUCAGGGUGACUGCGUACCUUUUGUAUAAUGGGUCAGCGACUUAUAUUCUGUAGCAAGGUUAACCGUAUAGGGGAGCCGAAGGGAAACCGAGUCUUAACUGGGCGUUAAGUUGCAGGGUAUAGACCCGAAACCCGGUGAUCUAGCCAUGGGCAGGUUGAAGGUUGGGUAACACUAACUGGAGGACCGAACCGACUAAUGUUGAAAAAUUAGCGGAUGACUUGUGGCUGGGGGUGAAAGGCCAAUCAAACCGGGAGAUAGCUGGUUCUCCCCGAAAGCUAUUUAGGUAGCGCCUCGUGAACUCAUCUUCGGGGGUAGAGCACUGUUUCGGCUAGGGGGCCAUCCCGGCUUACCAACCCGAUGCAAACUACGAAUACCGAAGAAUGUUAUCACGGGAGACACACGGCGGGUGCUAACGUCCGUCGUGAAGAGGGAAACAACCCAGACCGCCAGCUAAGGUCCCAAAGUCACAGUUAAGUGGGAAACGAUGUGGGAAGGCACAGACAGCCAGGAUGUUGGCUUAGAAGCAGCCAUCAUUUAAAGAAAGCGUAAUAGCUCACUGGUCGAGUCGGCCUGCGCGGAAGAUGUAACGGGGCUAAACUGUGCACCGAAGCUGCGGCAGCGACGCUUAUGCGUUGUUGGGUAGGGGAGCGUUCUGUAAGCCGUCGAAGGUGUCCUGUGAGGGAUGCUGGAGGUAUCAGAAGUGCGAAUGCUGACAUAAGUAACGAUAAAGCGGGUGAAAAGCCCGCUCGCCGGAAGACCAAGGGUUCCUGUCCAACGUUAAUCGGGGCAGGGUGAGUCGACCCCUAAGGCGAGGCCGAAAGGCGUAGUCGAUGGGAAACAGGUUAAUAUUCCUGUACUCGGUGUUACUGCGAAGGGGGGACGGAGAAGGCUAUGUUAGCCGGGCGACGGUUGUCCCGGUUUAAGCAUGUAGGCGGAGCGUUUAGGUAAAUCCGGACGCUUUUUAACGCUGAGGUGUGAUGACGAGGCACUACGGUGCUGAAGUAACAAAUGCCCUGCUUCCAGGAAAAGCCUCUAAGCAUCAGGUAACAUCAAAUCGUACCCCAAACCGACACAGGUGGUCAGGUAGAGAAUACCAAGGCGCUUGAGAGAACUCGGGUGAAGGAACUAGGCAAAAUGGUGCCGUAACUUCGGGAGAAGGCACGCUGAUGGUAAGUGAAGCGACUUGCUCGUGGAGCUGAAAUCAGUCGAAGAUACCAGCUGGCUGCAACUGUUUAUUAAAAACACAGCACUGUGCAAACACGAAAGUGGACGUAUACGGUGUGACGCCUGCCCGGUGCCGGAAGGUUAAUUGAUGGGGUUAGCGGUAACGCGAAGCUCUUGAUCGAAGCCCCGGUAAACGGCGGCCGUAACUAUAACGGUCCUAAGGUAGCGAAAUUCCUUGUCGGGUAAGUUCCGACCUGCACGAAUGGCGUAAUGAUGGCCAGGCUGUCUCCACCCGAGACUCAGUGAAAUUGAACUCGCUGUGAAGAUGCAGUGUACCCGCGGCAAGACGGAAAGACCCCGUGAACCUUUACUAUAGCUUGACACUGAACACUGGUCCUUGAUGUGUAGGAUAGGUGGGAGGCUUUGAAGCGUGGACGCCAGUCUGCGUGGAGCCAACCUUGAAAUACCACCCUUUAAUGGCUGGUGUUCUAACGUAGACCCGUAAUCCGGGUUGCGGACAGUGUCUGGUGGGUAGUUUGACUGGGGCGGUCUCCUCCUAAAGAGUAACGGAGGAGCACGAAGGUUAGCUAAUCCUGGUCGGACAUCAGGAGGUUAGUGCAAUGGCAUAAGCUAGCUUGACUGCGAGAGUGACGGCUCGAGCAGGUGCGAAAGCAGGUCAUAGUGAUCCGGUGGUUCUGAAUGGAAGGGCCAUCGCUCAACGGAUAAAAGGUACUCCGGGGAUAACAGGCUGAUACCGCCCAAGAGUUCAUAUCGACGGCGGUGUUUGGCACCUCGAUGUCGGCUCAUCACAUCCUGGGGCUGAAGUAGGUCCCAAGGGUACGGCUGUUCGCCGUUUAAAGUGGUACGCGAGCUGGGUUUAGAACGUCGUGAGACAGUUCGGUCCCUAUCUGCCGUGGGCGCUGGAGAAUUGAGGGGGGCUGCUCCUAGUACGAGAGGACCGGAGUGGACGCAUCACUGGUGUUCGGGUUGUCAUGCCAAUGGCAUUGCCCGGUAGCUAAAUGCGGAAAAGAUAAGUGCUGAAAGCAUCUAAGCACGAAACUUGCCCCGAGAUGAGUUCUCCCUGACUCCUUUGAGAGUCCUGAAGGAACGUUGAAGACUACGACGUUGAUAGGUCGGGUGUGUAAGCGUAGCGAUACGUUGAGCUAACCGAUACUAAUGAACCGUGAGGCUUAACCUUACAACGCCGAAGCUGUU
This 2937-nucleotide ribosomal RNA is filed under the name Lelliottia amnigena. Its description in RNAcentral is "bacterial LSU rRNA". It matches the Rfam family "Bacterial large subunit ribosomal RNA". The record is from RNAcentral. Lineage: Bacteria; Pseudomonadati; Pseudomonadota; Gammaproteobacteria; Enterobacterales; Enterobacteriaceae.